CUACGGGAUGCUCCAGUGGGGAAUAUUGCACAAUGGAGGAAACUCUGAUGCAGCAACGCCGCGUGGAGGAUGACACUUUUCGGAGCGUAAACUCCUUUUAUAUAGGAAGAAGAUGACGGUACUAUAUGAAUAAGCGCCGGCUAACUCCGUGCCAGCAGCCGCGGUAAUACGGAGGGCGCAAGCGUUACUCGGAAUCACUGGGCGUAAAGAGCGUGUAGGCGGAUUAAAAAGUCAGAAGUGAAAUCCUAUAGCUUAACUAUAGAACUGCUUCUGAAACUCUUAAUCUAGAAUAUGGGAGAGGUAGAUGGAAUUUCUGGUGUAGGGGUAAGAUCCGUAGAGAUCAGAAGGAAUACCGAUUGCGAAGGCGAUCUACUAGAACAUUAUUGACGCUGAGACGCGAAAGCGUGGGGAGCAAACAGGAUUAGAUACCCGGGUAGUC
RNAcentral lists this ribosomal RNA (439 nucleotides) under uncultured bacterium. Its description in RNAcentral is "partial 16S ribosomal RNA". It matches the Rfam family "Bacterial small subunit ribosomal RNA", at positions 339 to 795 of the family's 1533-position model. The record is from RNAcentral.